RNAcentral lists this ribosomal RNA (490 nucleotides) under uncultured bacterium. RNAcentral describes it as "partial 16S ribosomal RNA". It matches the Rfam family "Bacterial small subunit ribosomal RNA", at positions 30 to 507 of the family's 1533-position model. The record is from RNAcentral.
AUUGAACGCUGGCGGCAGGCCUAACACAUGCAAGUCGAACGGUAACAGGAAGCAGCUUGCUGCUUCGCUGACGAGUGGCGGACGGGUGAGUAAUGUCUGGGAAGCUGCCUGAUGGAGGGGGAUAACUACUGGAAACGGUAGCUAAUACAGCAUAAUGUCGCAAGACCAAAGAGGGGGACCUUCGGGCCUCUUGCCAUCGGAUGUGCCCAGAUGGGAUUAGCUUGUUGGUGGGGUAACGGCUCACCAAGGCGACGAUCCCUAGCUGGUCUGAGAGGAUGACCAGCCACACUGGAACUGAGACACGGUCCAGACGCCUACGGGAGGCAGCAGUGGGGAAUAUUGGACAAUGGGCGCAAGCCUGAUGCAGCCAUGCCGCGUGUAUGAAGAAGGCCUUCGGGUUGUAAAGUACUUUCAGCGGGGAGGAAGGGAGUAAAGUUAAUACCUUGGCUCAUUGACGUUACCCGCAGAAGAAGCACCGGCUAACUCCGUG